GGAGGAAGUAGGGGAUCGCAAGACCUUGCGCUUUUGGAGCGGCCGAUGCCUGAUUAGCUUGUUGGUGAGGUAAAAGCUCACCAAGGCUCCGAUCAGUAGCUGGUCUGAGAGGACGACCAGCCACACUGGGACUGAGACACGGCCCAGACUCCUACGGGAGGCAGCAGUGGGGAAUUUUGGACAAUGGGGGCAACCCUGAUCCAGCCAUGCCGCGUGAGUGAAGAAGGCCUUCGGGUUGUAAAGCUCUUUCAGCCGGAACGAAACGGUCACGGUUAAUACCCGUGACUACUGACGGUACCGGAAGAAGAAGCACCGGCUAACUACGUGCCAGCAGCCGCGGUAAUACGUAGGGUGCGAGCGUUAAUCGGAAUUACUGGGCGUAAAGCGUGCGCAGGCGGUUUUGUAAGUCAGAUGUGAAAUCCCCGGGCUUAACCUGGGAACUGCGUUUGAAACUACAAAGCUAG
Molecule: ribosomal RNA, 464 nt
Filed under: uncultured bacterium
Lineage: Bacteria
Description: bacterial SSU rRNA
Rfam family: Bacterial small subunit ribosomal RNA
Source: RNAcentral